Molecule: long non-coding RNA, 99 nt
Organism: Lynx canadensis (Canada lynx)
Lineage: Eukaryota; Metazoa; Chordata; Mammalia; Carnivora; Felidae
Exons: 3
Source: RefSeq, a predicted model, not a curated record
AAAAAGCUCCAAAUUGGGCCGCCUGGGUUGCGCAGUCCGGUUAGCGAUCCGACUUCAGACCAGGUCACGAUUCUCGCGGUCCGUGAGAUUCGAGCCCGC